GGAGCUGUGGCUCAGUGGUAGAGUGCUCUCCUGGCAUGUGUGAGGCACUGGGUUUGAUCCUCAGCACCA
This 69-nucleotide transfer RNA is filed under the name Marmota monax (woodchuck). It matches the Rfam family "tRNA". Rfam says of the family: Transfer RNA (tRNA) molecules are approximately 80 nucleotides in length. Their secondary structure includes four short double-helical elements and three loops (D, anti-codon, and T loops). Further hydrogen bonds mediate the characteristic L-shaped molecular structure. tRNAs have two regions of fundamental functional importance: the anti-codon, which is responsible for specific mRNA codon recognition, and the 3' end, to which the tRNAs corresponding amino acid is attached (by aminoacyl-tRNA synthetases). tRNAs cope with the degeneracy of the genetic code in two manners: having more than one tRNA (with a specific anti-codon) for a particular amino acid; and 'wobble' base-pairing, i.e. permitting non-standard base-pairing at the 3rd anti-codon position. The record is from Rfam by way of RNAcentral. Lineage: Eukaryota; Metazoa; Chordata; Mammalia; Rodentia; Sciuridae.